This 330-nucleotide ribosomal RNA is filed under the name uncultured Acidobacteriota bacterium. RNAcentral's name for it is "bacterial SSU rRNA". It matches the Rfam family "Bacterial small subunit ribosomal RNA", at positions 568 to 898 of the family's 1533-position model. Lineage: Bacteria; Pseudomonadati; Acidobacteriota. The record is from RNAcentral.
UGCGUAGGCGGCGCUCUAAGUUUGGUGUGAAAUCUCCCGGCUUAACUGGGAGGGUGCACUGAAAACUGGGGCGCUCGAGUAUGGGAGAGGAAAGCGGAAUUCCUGGUGUAGCGGUGAAAUGCGUAGAGAUCAGGAGGAACACCUGCGGUGUAGACGGCUUUCUGGACCAUAACUGACGCUGAGGCACGAAAGCGUGGGUAGCAAACAGGAUUAGAUACCCUGGUAGUCCACGCCCUAAACGAUGCAUACUUGGUGUGGGUUCUUCACUGGAUCCGUGCCGGAGCUAACGCGUUAAGUAUGCCGCCUGGGGAGUACGGUCGCAAGGCUGAA